GCUGGGUGUGGUGGUGCACACCUGUAAUCCCAGCUACUCAGGAGGCUGAGGCAGGAGAAUCACUUGAACCCAGGAGGCGGAGGUUGCAGUGAGCCAAGAUUGUGCCACUGCACUCUAGCCUGGGUGACAGAGGGAGACUCUGUCUCAG
Molecule: non-coding RNA, 148 nt
Organism: Pan troglodytes (chimpanzee)
Lineage: Eukaryota; Metazoa; Chordata; Mammalia; Primates; Hominidae
Rfam family: Metazoan signal recognition particle RNA
About the family: The signal recognition particle (SRP) is a universally conserved ribonucleoprotein. It is involved in the co-translational targeting of proteins to membranes.
Source: Rfam